This 215-nucleotide unclassified non-coding RNA is filed under the name Hevea brasiliensis (rubber tree). The record is from RNAcentral. Lineage: Eukaryota; Viridiplantae; Streptophyta; Magnoliopsida; Malpighiales; Euphorbiaceae.
CUUCGUACCAGGUUUGGAAAGUCAUAUUUAUGUUAAAAAGAGGAGUUUUAGUCAGAAGUGAGUUGAGGGGGAGAAAGUCUUUGUUCUUCUCUGUUUUUCUAAAUCCCCGUUUAAGAAUAUUUGUUGGCAUUUGGUCAUGGCAGACCUUUUUUUUUUGUGUCCUACAUUAAUGAACUUUUUAAUGAUUUUUUUUGCUAUUAAAAAAAAAAAAUUUC